RNAcentral lists this ribosomal RNA (465 nucleotides) under Vreelandella stevensii. RNAcentral describes it as "partial 16S ribosomal RNA". It matches the Rfam family "Bacterial small subunit ribosomal RNA", at positions 338 to 795 of the family's 1533-position model. Lineage: Bacteria; Pseudomonadati; Pseudomonadota; Gammaproteobacteria; Oceanospirillales; Halomonadaceae. The record is from RNAcentral.
CCUACGGGUGGCUGCAGUGGGGAAUAUUGGACAAUGGGCGAAAGCCUGAUCCAGCCAUGCCGCGUGUGUGAAGAAGGCCUUCGGGUUGUAAAGCACUUUCAGUGGGGAAGAAAGCCUUGGGGCUAAUACCCUCGAGGAAGGACAUCACCAACAGAAGAAGCACCGGCUAACUCCGUGCCAGCAGCCGCGGUAAUACGGAGGGUGCGAGCGUUAAUCGGAAUUACUGGGCGUAAAGCGCGCGUAGGCGGUCUGAUAAGCCGGUUGUGAAAGCCCCGGGCUCAACCUGGGAACGGCAUCCGGAACUGUCAGGCUAGAGUGCAGGAGAGGAAGGUAGAAUUCCCGGUGUAGCGGUGAAAUGCGUAGAGAUCGGGAGGAAUACCAGUGGCGAAGGCGGCCUUCUGGACUGACACUGACGCUGAGGUGCGAAAGCGUGGGUAGCAAACAGGAUUAGAUACCCCGGUAGUC